RNAcentral lists this ribosomal RNA (775 nucleotides) under uncultured Neocallimastigales. Its description in RNAcentral is "partial large subunit ribosomal RNA". It matches the Rfam family "Eukaryotic large subunit ribosomal RNA", at positions 22 to 644 of the family's 3401-position model. Lineage: Eukaryota; Fungi; Neocallimastigomycota; Neocallimastigomycetes; Neocallimastigales. The record is from RNAcentral.
GUACACGCUGUGACUAGCAUAUCAAUAAGCGGAGGAAAAGAAACUAACAAGGAUUCCCCUAGUAACGGCGAGUGAAGCGGGAAGAGCUCAAAUUUGAAAUCUUAAAGGGUUUCCCUUUACGAAUUGUAGUUUAAAGAAGUGUUUUCUGUUGAGGUUUUGGUAAAAGUUCUUUGGAAUAGGACAUCAUAGAGGGUGAGAAUCCCGUAUUUGACCUUUACUUUCAACUUUGUGAUACACUUUCAAAGAGUCGGAUUGUUUGGGAAUGCAGUCCAAAAUGGGUGGUAAAUUUCAUCUAAAGCUAAAUAUUGGCGAGAGACCGAUAGCGAACAAGUACCGUGAGGGAAAGAUGAAAAGAACUUUGAAAAGAGAGUUAAACAGUACGUGAAAUUGUCAAAAGGGAAGCGUUUGACACCAGUGUUGUUUUUCUGAAAAUCAAUUAAAGAACUGUUUAUGCUAAGCUGUUUAGACUUUAUCAGCUAUCUGUUUAGUUUUGAGCUUUUCUUUAAUGCACUUUUCAGUUAACAAGUCAACAUCAAUUUCUUUUGCUGUAAAAAAGCUUGAGGAAGGUGGCUUGAGAUUCGUCUUAAGUGUUUAUAGCCUCUUGCCUAUGCAGUCGGAGAGAUUGAGGUCUGCAGCGUAGAUCCUUCGGGGCUAAAUGCAUUUGUGCUAAGUUAUAGCAUUUUAUAGACAACUUGUUGACUACUGAUUUGUCUUGUAGCUUACUCGCUUAUGUUAUUUUACCUACGCUUAGGAUGUUGAAUCUGUGCGAGACUAC